This 789-nucleotide long non-coding RNA is filed under the name Marmota monax (woodchuck). Lineage: Eukaryota; Metazoa; Chordata; Mammalia; Rodentia; Sciuridae. The record is from RNAcentral.
GGCGGACGCCAAGCUGGGGGGCCGCGUUCUCAGGGACAAAGGAAGCGCGGCGCCGCGUAUCAGAGUGGCGCGAACGAGCGCCUGGUGGAGAGGCCGCGCGCGCGCCCAGGCCCGCGUGUGGGACAAAGGCCCCACCUUCGGGGAACUGUUAACAAUGACCCGAGCUCUUGGAAAACACGGUUCUGCCGCCCUCGCCCGGAAUUCUGGUGCCGGGAGCAAGCAUUUUUGUUUAGCACCUGGGUAGAUCUAUUACACGUUUUGAUAAAGUAACAAAAUGUCACUGAAAUGUAAAAAGACUGACUUCGCAGAAAUUCCUCCCAGAGAGACCGCUGCAUUUCGCUAGAAGCCACUUCUUUGAAGCGCCGAGUAGAAGUCAAAACCACCUGCUUCCAAGGAAAAAUUGGCUGGGUUUGGAGCGCCUACCUGACCAGAGCCCAACUGCUGAUGAAAGGCUGAGCUCUGCCUGCAAUCAGUGCCCUUCCUCGCCGUAAUCUAAAUGAAGAAACACUUAAGAAAUUACAGAUUAGAAGGGCCACACAUUAAAGUUGUCUGAUUAGAAGCAAAGAAGUCUUCCAACCUCACUGUUUAAACAAUAUGCAGAUGACUUAGCGAAAAUCGAUUCAAGAAUGCUAACAUUUUCAUCUGUGUUAGUGGAAGAACUGGCAAGCCCCCCUCCCUUGAUCAUCAUCAAUCAGAAUAAGGAUUAAAAUAAAAAUAAUGAAAUGGAGUCUUUCAAAAAGCAAGCAGUCCUUGAUUAUCGUCACUAAUUUGACUAAUGUCACUCAUGUU